UGGCCGACCGACGUAAGUUUGUGCGUAAUAUGAAACUUCGCACAGAACUCUCUGAAAUUUUGGUUGUCAAAUUAUCGACCAUUGUCAGUGAUGAUGGUGUGCGGCAAAUCAAAUCUGUAAAUGAUAGAUUUUUGAAUGAAGUCUUCCAUCUUGCUUUCAGUGAUUUGUGCCAGAGGUUCAGCUUCCACCCAUUUGGUAAAGUAAUUGAUGGCGAUCACUAUGAAUUUCUUCUUGUUGUGGCCAACUCCCCGUUGCCUGUCGUUGGUAUCGAGCACCUGCAAGACAGCGUCCACAC
RNAcentral lists this long non-coding RNA (295 nucleotides) under Elaeis guineensis (African oil palm). RNAcentral describes it as "long non-coding RNA (EGUI_LNC023854)". Lineage: Eukaryota; Viridiplantae; Streptophyta; Magnoliopsida; Arecales; Arecaceae. The record is from RNAcentral.